CUCCCAUCUUCUUUCUCUUCCCUUCCUCUCUCUCUCUCUACCAGUUUGCAAACGGCAAAUUCACAGAACAUUUUCGCAAAUCCAAGCUAUGCAUGGCCAUUUGAGGAAAAGGAAAUUAAUGAUCGGUUCAGAGGUCAACGUUUGAAGGUUUGGAUUUUUGUUCUUUUUUUUCUUGCCCUCUGCUUUCAAUCUGAAGCAUUUUUAUGGGGUUUCGUCCAUUUGUAAAGUGAAAAUUUGUUCUUUACCAGUUCUCUUUCACUUUAGGGUACAAGCUUUAAUGAAUUUUUGUCCCUUUCGCUCUUUUCUGGUCGGGGGUCAACACAUCUACAAAAUCCGAACGUUGUUGACUGAAACAAAGCCCGCCCAAAAUUUCGAAUCCCAGCCAAACCCUAAUCUAAGUCUAUAAAUACAAACCCUAGUGGAACCUAAAAGGGGGUCUUUUUUUAGCCGCCUUGAUUUUCUCUGAAAAAUUGAUAUUUUGCAAUUUUAAUAUUUCUGGUUUCUCAUUCGAAAUAUUGAUCCAUUCAUUUUUUUUAUUUCGGCUGCUACUUUGAAUUCGAGUGUAUAUCGGAGACCUCGAAGCCCCUGUUCGCUGCACUUGAAGAAGGGCUGGGCGUUCGGUAUUCGGUUCGGUAUUUUUAAAGUUCGGGUUCGGUAAUUCGGUAUUCGGUAAUUGAAAGUAUAUACCAAAUACCGAACUUUCAAACUUCGGUUCGGUAAUUCGGGAAUCGGUAAAUCAAAUUUCGGUUCAGUACGGUAUUCGAUAAUACCAUUUUUUUGCUAGCAGUUGCAUUCAUUCAUCAUGUGCAAGAGUUCACAUCACAAUUACCCCUCAAUUUUCAGGAAAAAGUUUCUAUGGAAUAUGUUAAGCAAGGAAACCAAUAGAACUAUAGGAAACAGGCAGAACUAUCACUAUCACUACUGUAUGUUAAGCAAGGAAACCAGCAGAACUAUAGGAAACAGGCAGAACUAUCACUAAACUUAUAGCAUUUUAAGAUGGUUAGGUUAAAGGCAAAUAAUAGACCAUGCAAUCGGGCUACUGUAUUCUGUAAGCCAUGAAGUCAUUCCAAAGCCUCAUGUAUGCUAUUGAUGGUAUUGGACCUUGUUUGGCUAGUGGUCCAUUUUCAUAAAGGUACAAAUUUGCAGCAUUAUCAUUCUCCAUAUAUUGCUUAGAUUCAUUUCUAGAGUUCUCUCUUUUUAUUUCGUAAAUAUUUUAUUUGAUACAUUAUGGGAAAUGAGCAACAGAAAAAAGGAUAUCUAAAAGCCGCAAUUUACGUUUCGCAAAAUACUAGGACUUUUCAGUUUCAUAAUGUAGUGAAAGAGAAGAGGAUAUUUAAGAGAACUGUGUGCAACACACUACUGUAAUUUCGGUAUUCGGUAUUUACCGAAUUACCGAACGGUAUAAUUGUAAAUACCGAAUACCGAACCCGAAAUACUAAAUUUUAUAUUUCAGUACCGAAAACCGAAUUACCGAAUACCGAAAUACCAAAAUAGCCGGUUCGGUUCGGUAAUUCGGUUUUCGGUAUUUUAUGCCCAGCCCUAGUAUCUGGGCCUCACUGCCUAUUUUAUCUGUUUCAUAUGUUAUCAGUUCGGUGGCAAGCUCUUUGUUUUUGGGCUGGACGUUUCGUUUGCACAUGAAUAUUUGUCUUUAAAUUUUCCAUGUAUGAUGAUCGUGCACUAAUUCUUUUCUUUUCUGUUUUUUUUUCUUUUGCAUGACAUCCGAGAUUACGAGGAGUCUCGAAUAAGACUCGACUUCGCCGCGAGAUCAAACAAUUGCAUUGCUCCACUCAUGUUCCCUAAACAGCUAAGUUUGGCUGAAAUAAAUCCAGCGACGAUUGGGAUUGAUUUCUCUAUUCGAACAACUCUUUCUCCCCUCGGAAAAUGACCAGUCCGAAGCAAUAUAGAGAGGGGAGAAAAUGAAAGGCUGUUGCGUUUCCUUUUUAGCAUAUCUGAUAUUUGCUUAAUUUAAUUAUAUUUAUAGAUGAUUGUUUUAGCUACUUUAGAAUAAUUAAUCUAGUGGGGUUAGUCGGGACAUUAGCUUAUAUAACGAUAGAAAUUUUUCUUUUAGUUCAUCCCGCGAAAAUUUUAGUAUAUCUAUAAGAAGGAAAACGGAUGGUAGUUUGAAUAAUAACGGAAACGUUUCAAUUCGUUUUAUGAAGUAUUUUAGUAUACUUUGAAGAAAAGACACGGAUAUUAUUUCUAUAUAGCAGUAGAAAUAUUUUAAUGCA
Long non-coding RNA from Lycium barbarum (goji berry), 2228 nucleotides. RefSeq lists it as uncharacterized. The transcript is spliced from 2 exons. NCBI's taxonomy places the organism in Eukaryota, Viridiplantae, Streptophyta, Magnoliopsida, Solanales, Solanaceae. The record is from RefSeq and is a predicted model, not a curated record.